Homo sapiens (human) is the source of this 5536-nucleotide long non-coding RNA. Ensembl annotates it as long intergenic non-protein coding RNA 870. NCBI's taxonomy places the organism in Eukaryota, Metazoa, Chordata, Mammalia, Primates, Hominidae. The record is from Ensembl.
CUAUGUUGCCCAGGCUGGUUUCAAACUCCUGGCCUCAAGUGCUUCUCCUGCCUUCCAAAGUGCUGGAAUUAUAGACAUGAGCCACCACACCUGGCCAAAACAUUUUUAUUUUUAUUUUAGAGCUGGAUCCUCACUCUGUGAGACCAGGCUGGAGUACAGUGGUGUUAUCGUAGCUCAGCUGCACCUUCGAACUCCUGGGCUCAAGCAGUCCUCCUUCCUCAGCCUCCUACAUAGCUAGGACUACAAGUCUGCACCACCAUGCCUUGCUAACUUUUAAAAAAUCUUUCGUAGAGGGGGUUCUUGCUAUGUUGCUCAGGCUGGUCUAGAACUCCUGGCCUCAAGCAAUCCUCCCACUUGAGCUGUGGGAUUAUAGGCAUGAACCACAGUGCCUGGUUAGUGUUCUUUUAAUACUCAGGUAAUGAAUCCAAAUCCAUCCUGUGACGUGCACAAAACUGAUUUUGUUAUCGUUCACUGGAUUCCCAGUAAUUUCUAAAACUCAGCAGUGGGGACAGUUGGUCCACAAAAUCACAUGAACAUGGUCAGUUGCCUCAGCACCAUCCUCACUCAGUCUCUCAGGACCCUACACCAUCUACCUGCGGGGAAAGUGGAUUUGCACCCACCCACCCUCCAUCCAUGCCCAGCUACUUACACAGCUCCACUUUAAGCCCAUGGACCCUAAAGCCGCUGCCAGAGCCCAGCUUCCAAUGGGUUUUUUUAAUUGAAGUAGAAGUGCCUGCUAAGAGACCUCCCAAAGAUCCCCUGCCUUCAGCCCAGACAAGUCUUCUUCUCAUUGACAACAACACUCGUUCUGUGGGCUGUAGUGGCUUUAUUUGCAUAGCCUCAUUUCCUCUGUUCUAAUGCACCAAUUGUGGGAAUGCAUACUGCAAAUUUAGUAGUAGAAUUUUGUGGAGGAAAAAAAUCUAUCAUAUUGAAUAUAUAUGUUGAUUUUUUAUGAUAUCAAAUUUAUUGAGGUGUUUAUAUGUAGUUUAUAUAUAGUUUAUAAACUAUAAAAUGCACCCAUUCUAACUGUACAUUUCAAUUAGUUUGGUUAGUUUAUACCCCUGUAUAGCCAUGACCACAAUUAAGACAUGGAACAUUUCUGUUACCCCAGAAAGUUCCCUUGUGUCUCAUUCCAGAUAAUUCCCUCCACCCCUGUCCCUGGGAAACUCCUGAUCUGCUUUCUGUCAUUUAGAUUGAAUUUGUGUUUUCUAGAGUUUUCUAUAUGGAAUGCCAUAAUAUGUCUGCUUUUGUGUCUAGAUUCUUUCGCUCAGCAUAAGGUUUGAGAUUCAUCUGCAGGGUCAAAUAGAAGGUAUCAAGCAUGACCAUAGUUCAUUCCUUUUCAUUGCUGAAUAGUAUUCCUGUCUCUUUGUUUUGAUAUGUUGCUUUUCUUUUGCAUUUUCCAACUUUAUUAAAGAAUAAUUAACAUAUACUAAAUUGCAUAUAAAAUGUGUACAAUCUAACCAGUUUUAACAUAUGCGUAUAUCCAUGAUGUGCACACAGACUUUUAUGAAUCAGAACUAUAACAAAACAGUGCAGCUUAGAUCAUUGAAAUAUUAGGUUGAAUAACUCUUUUAUUCAAGUCCUUUCCAGAACUCUGGGUUAGUAUUUGCCUUGCAUUUGGCAAACCAAAGAAUCAUUGAUUAUUUUCCUCCAAAACACAUCUGCUCUAAGGAGACUUGCUACCUCUGAGGAAGAACAUUUUAGUCUCUCUGCUGCAAAACAAACAAACAAAAAACCUAAAACAAAAAGCAAUGCUUAUAGUGCAUCUCACUACAUUUGAUAUUUCUAUGAAAGGACUCUGAACUGCAGUGACAUGAACGUAACCCAAACUGGCUCAAGAAGAAAAAAGCAGGGAGACGGGCAGGAUUUAUUGACUAACAUAGAUGAAAGCGUGAGGGCUUCAGGCAUAGCUGUAUCCAGGAGCUAAAACAUCAUCAGGACUCCGUCUCUCUUCCUCUUUUUCCCUCUCUCUAGAGGCUGCUUUCCUCCCUGUUAGCUUCAUUUUCUCCAUGUGGUGGACUGUGGCAGAAGCCACUUUGGAUGUUUACCUUGGGGGAAAUUGAAUGCAGGGAAUUGGUUACAGAGAUGAUGGAGCUGCUGAGAAGACAGCAUGGCCAUGUUGAAUAACCCAGGGAUUAGUGAUAGGAGGAAGGCACUGCCUCCUUUAUAUCAGAGAGACAAAGAGGGAAGGAUGGUGUAACUGGAACCCAGGGGUUUGGGGAUACCUGAGAGAAGCUGGAGCCAGAGUAGGGCAGCCUGGUGGGGCACUGGAGCCGCAGAGGAACUGCAGCUGCUGCCGGAGAUGCCUCCCAAGGCCAGCAGGGAGAGGGAGGAAUAGCCCCGCUUCUCUCUACUUUCACCCUCAGCCUCCCCCAGUGCCUUUCUUGGCCCAACCCAGCUGGAAGCCAGAUGGCAAGAAUGCCCAGGAAAUGCAGGCUGCAGGGGUUAGCCCCAGGGAUACCAACAAGACAGAGGAAGAGGAAGGAAGUGGGAGACACAGUCUGAGGGCAGGAGACCCACCCCAGCACAAUCCCCUUGGAAAGUGAGCUUGUGAAUGGUUCCAACAGAAGUCUGGGAACAGAGUCUGAUGUGUACAGGUGUGGUUAUCAGGCCCCCUCCAGAGGUAGGAGGCUGGCAGAGGAUGGGGAACCAGCAACACAGACACCAAGCAGAGCCGGAGAGACCCAAAGCAAAGUCAAAGUGCUCUUCCCUGACAUGGAUGUGGGGCUGACAAACACCGGUGUCCACCACAUGCUGCUCCAGUUGGACACGUGCUAGAGGCCACACAAUUGCAAAUGGCCCAGCUCAGGCUGUUUCCACAGAGGAGAACUUCAAGUUUGCUGUGAUGCCAAACCAUGGCCAAGGUCAAGACCUUACUGAUACAUUUCUGGUCCCUGGGAAAGCAAGAAGGGGAAGAAAACGAUGAAGCAGCACUAUUUCUGCCCCUUCCAAUGAGGCGCCCUGAUUCCCAAGCCUGGAGUUUGCAGCAUGAGGCCCAGGGCCCAGGUGGGAAGAGUGGCUUAACAUCCAGGCCCCGGGAAAUGCAAAAAGCAAAUGACUCACUGGUCUUCAAUAGCACAUUACCUUCUAAAGGAGACACUUUGCAACCCAAAUAUCGAGGCCAGAGGAUUUCCUACGAGUCUUUUAUGAUCUCUAAAAAUUUCAAGAGAGAGAAUUGGUGAGCAACUGGGCUCUGUCACUGUCGGGCUCGCUGAUUGAACGUGCCUUUAAUGGAGUCUCCGGCAGCCAUAAAAAUGUAUGAAAACAGCCUUCUGGCCACAAGCAAGCCUGAUAGAUGGGGCAGUGACACUCAGGAAAAGCCAGAUGGCCUGGGCUUGUCCUCAUGCCUGUUGAAGAGGAUACAUCUUGGUCUCUUAAGAUAGAACUUGUGUUUGGAGACACAUUAGGCAUUCGACAUACAAUUUCUCCACAGGGGAAGAUACAUACACACACACACACACACACACACACACACACACACACACACACACAUAUGCACACACAAUCAAAACAUUGCAUGAGGAUAGCUUUACAUGACAGUGUACCCCAGUAGUUAAAGGCUUGGGCACCGUAGUGAGUUAAAUAGUGUUCCUCUCCCAAAAAAAUUUCUGUCCACCCAGGACCACAGAAUGUGACCUUAUUUGGAAAUAGAGUCUCUGUAGAUGUCAUUUUCCAUACCAUUUUAAAGUCUGUUUGUUCCACUACACACUGAGGAUAUUAAUAAUGAUACCCACAGACAAAAUGAGCAGAGGAUAAAGAGCAUGUAUGAUCAUCUAAUAAAUGCACAAGCUAUGUGUCGACUGUUGUUACUACGUAUGAGAAAAAAGAGAAAGAGGGAAGGAAGGAGGGAGGAAAAAGGGGAGGAAGGAAGGAAGCUAUUAAAAGCUGGCUAAUUCACAUCAUAACCCUGAAAUAAUAGAAGAGCAUCCUAAAAGAGAUCUCGCUUAGCAGACAAGUUGCCUUCCUUCUCCAUAACCCUCUAAUUAUAGCACUUCAGAGCCCUCUUAACUUAAAUCUCCUAGAGAAGGGUGCACAUGCUCAUGACAUUCUUUCCUGCCUUCUGCUGUGAUGAAGCUGCACCGCUAGCUUAGCCCUAGACACCCCCUGUCCCAGUCAGAUGGUCACCUGAUGGUGCAAGCCGGCCAGAAAGUUCAGGAGUCCAAUUCAACACUCAGAUAUGAAAAUGCACAGAACCCCUUUAUUCCUGACAUGGGCAUAUGGUACAAAUCAUUUGGCAUGCACUAAAUCAUUAGAAUACUCGUUUAUUUUGGAACGUAUAUGAAGUGAGCAGAAUAAGGCAUGUACUGUUUUCAAGAGAACUCAUUUCCUCUGCUGGGGGCAAAAGACCGCUCUUGGCAAGGUAUUCUUUGAAAGUAAAUUAUCUUCAGAGGAAAGCACGUGCUGUUCUAAAGGAGAACGUAGCUCCCUACAGAUUCUCAAGUUCAAGGGGUGUCUGUGUAGGUGCAUGCACACAUAUAUGUAUUACAUGCAACAACAAUUAAUAUAUGUAUUACAUGCAACAAUUAAUGGUUGGAAAACCAUUAAUCAUAUUUAUUUAAAAUUGAAAAGACAUAUAUAUUCAAAAUAACAGUUUUAAUAAGUUCGAAAGUUUUGCUCACACAUAAAUAAGAGAAAUCCAGAGACAGAUAGUUUAGUGAUAGUAUGGUGGCUCCAUGGUGUCAUCAGAUAUGCAGGCUCAUGUCUUUAUGCUUUGUUAAACUCAAAGUGAGUGUCUUCCUUCUUUAGAGUAACCCUCUGGCCCAAGAUGGCUGCUGGAGCCUCAGCUACUACAUGUGGAUUCCAGGCCAGAAGUAGAGGGAGGGGAAAACAAAGGAGUAUACCUUCCGGGGAUAUCAGCUUUUUUGUAUCAUCUUCCUGAGGUCCUGUGCAUUUCCAUAGUCACAUAUAUGCCCCUAACCGUCUUCUCAGGCCUUAAAUGUUUGGGCGUGUUGUGAAUCUCCAAGACUGAGCCACAAGAUGCAGCAUUUUCCUAAUGACCUCAGGCCCUUUUUGAAUGGGCACUUUUGGGAAUCAGCGUUCUGCAAAGCAUACCUUGGGAAGCCACAGAGAGCUUUUCCCUGAAGCAGGGUUUCUCAACCUGUACGUUGUUGGCAUUUGGGGCAGGAUAAUUCUUAGUUGUGGGCGGCUGUCCUGUGCAUUGGAGGGUAUUUACCAGCAUCCCUGGCCUCUGCUCACCAGAUGCCAAUAGCAAUUCCUCCCCCACCCUGUUGUGACAACCAAAAGUGUCCCCAGGUAUUGCCAAAUGUUCCCUGCUGGCAAAAUGGCCCUCAGAUGAGAACCUUUACUCUAGGGAAAUUUCUAGAAUCAAGAAAAUACAUUGCAAUGAUAGGAGAGACCACUCUCUCAGGUAUGAAUAUUCAGCUGACUGUUAGAGUCCUUGGCAAUAAGAUUGUUAUUUUUUAAAAGAGACAGUAUUACUGGUGAAGAUUCAUUUCAAAAAUGGAAAUGAAAAUAAAAGUUGCUGUUUCUAUGAUAACUAAGUCAAAAACUUAUGGAAAUUUAUGGAACAAGUGCG